GUGGGGAAUAUUGCACAAUGGGGGAAACCCUGAUGCAGCAACGCCGCGUGAGUGAAGAAGGCCUUCGGGUUGUAAAGCUCUGUCUUUGGGGAAGAAAAUGACGGUACCCAAGGAGGAAGCCACGGCUAACUACGUGCCAGCAGCCGCGGUAAUACGUAGGUGGCGAGCGUUGUCCGGAAUUAUUGGGCGUAAAGGGUGCGUAGGCGGCUCUUUAAGUGAGAUGUGAAAUCCCGAGGCUUAACCUCGGAGCUGCAUUUCAAACUGGGGAGCUAGAGUGCAGGAGAGGAAAGUGGAAUUCCUAGUGUAGCGGUGAAAUGCGUAGAGAUUAGGAGGAACACCAGUGGCGAAGGCGGCUUUCUGGACUGCAACUGACGCUGAGGCACGAAAGUGUGGGGAGCAAACAGGAUUAGAAACCCUGGUAGUCC
This 425-nucleotide ribosomal RNA is filed under the name uncultured bacterium. RNAcentral describes it as "bacterial SSU rRNA". It matches the Rfam family "Bacterial small subunit ribosomal RNA", at positions 354 to 796 of the family's 1533-position model. The record is from RNAcentral.